UACGAAGGGGGCUAGCGUUGUUCGGAAUUACUGGGCGUAAAGGGCGCGUAGGCGGUGUGUCAAGUCAGGCGUGAAAGCCCCGGGCUCAACCUGGGAACCGCGCUUGAGACUGGCACGCUCGAGUUCGGGAGAGGAUGGUGGAAUUCCCAGUGUAGAGGUGAAAUUCGUAGAUAUUGGGAAGAACACCGAUGGCGAAGGCAGCCAUCUGGACCGACACUGACGCUGAGGCGCGAAAGCUAGGGGAGCGAAUGGG
This 253-nucleotide ribosomal RNA is filed under the name uncultured bacterium. Its description in RNAcentral is "partial 16S ribosomal RNA". It matches the Rfam family "Bacterial small subunit ribosomal RNA", at positions 524 to 776 of the family's 1533-position model. The record is from RNAcentral.